GAUGAAGGACGUAGCGAAAUGCGAUACUUGGUGUGAAUUGCAGAAUCCCGUGAACCAUCGAGUCUUUGAACGCAAGUUGCGCCCGAAGCCAUUAGGCCGAGGGCACGCCUGCCUGGGCGUCACACGUCGUUGCCCCCCCCAUCUACUCCUUCGGGAUUGCGGGGGGCGGAUGAUGGCCUCCCGUGCGCCUCGCCGCGCGGUUGGCAUAAAUGCCAAGUCCUCGGCGACGCACGCCACGACAAUCGGUGGUUGCGAAACCUCGGUUGCCCGUCGUGUGCGGUCGUCGCGCAUCGAGGGCUCGAAAAAAUUGCCGGGCUCCGGCUCGGCUUUCAACGCGACCCCAGGUCAGGCGGGGUUACCCGCUGAAUUUAAGCAUAUCAAUAAGCGGAGGA
Molecule: unclassified non-coding RNA, 392 nt
Filed under: soil metagenome
Description: partial contains 5.8S ribosomal RNA, internal transcribed spacer 2, and large subunit ribosomal RNA
Rfam family: 5.8S ribosomal RNA (bases 1-122)
Source: RNAcentral